AUUGAAGGUGGAGCGCGAUUGCACAGUUAAUUAAUUAUAUUGAUGUGCCAUUUGUAUGCAAGAGUGACAUUCCGUUGUAUUAUGUGCCAAUUCGAAAAAGUUAUGCGAGUAUUGUCUCCCUUUAACAGGUUCAUUAUUUUAUAAUUAAGUUUAGGUUUCUGAUAUAAAUUUGAAUAGUUACAAAAUGUAUCAAUUCAAUAUAUUUCAGUUUUUGUUAUUGGUGUAUCAAAAACAUUGAUGUACGAAUUUAAUUUCAUAAAUUUGAAAAGUUUAAAAUGAUUACAUACCAAUAUAAAGAACCGUUCAUCAUUUUUGAAAAAGACUAUGAUUGAAAUUCGUAUUAUUUAUCUUCCCUUCAUGAUAGAUUGAUUGGGAAAUGAACCAAAGUUCUCUACAGGUAAUCACAGAGAGGGACUAGCAAGCAAUUUUUAAUUGUAGCUUAUUUAACGUUAAAACAACUUUCCACUAUAAACAAAUGUUAUUUUAUACAAAUAUAAGGACCUUGUUAGCUAAAUCUACAAAUUUUAUUAGAUAUUAUGAAUUUUUAUUACAAUAGAUUAAUAUGCUA
RNAcentral lists this long non-coding RNA (568 nucleotides) under Mytilus galloprovincialis (Mediterranean mussel). The record is from RNAcentral. Lineage: Eukaryota; Metazoa; Mollusca; Bivalvia; Mytilida; Mytilidae.